Molecule: non-coding RNA, 77 nt
Filed under: uncultured Paenibacillus sp.
Lineage: Bacteria; Bacillati; Bacillota; Bacilli; Caryophanales; Paenibacillaceae
Description: Cyclic di-GMP-I riboswitch
Rfam family: c-di-GMP-I riboswitch aptamer
About the family: GEMM was predicted in a large-scale screen for bacterial structured RNA regulatory elements. Genes associated with GEMM are involved in a diverse array of functions, including chemotaxis regulation, signal transduction, secretion and chitin.
Source: RNAcentral
UGGAAAAAGGCAAACUUGCCGAAAGGCAAGGACGCAAAGCUAUAGGGACUAAAAUCUUAGGAUCAAGUCAGCCAGCU